UCUCUUAUCAGGGCAAUCGUUGUUAAGGUCAAACAACCUUCUCCUUUACUAUUGUUGCUUUUGCUGGGUACAGAUACAAGUGAUGCAUUGGUGCUACACUAAGAUGAGAUCUCAGACCAACUGGGCACGUUCAAGCACCUCAGCGUACGAGUUGGGCCUUAGCAUUGCCACUCAAUCAUAGAUGUUUGCAUGGAGACCCUUCAAAAAUGUUCAGGCGUUACAACUUUUUGGGGUCACUAACAAAGGGGCAAACUGAGACAAUUAGGUGGAUCGAGCUACAUAUUGGUUGACAGUCAUAUUCCCUUGGUAGAGGUCCUAAAAUUCCUCCUCCUUCUCUUGGCCAUACACAAGGAAACAAUUCUCAAAAAAGGAAUCAAUUAAAACUUCCCAGAUGGUGGGGGAGGCUAAGACGUAUAUCUUGAGUCGCUAGCAAUGUUCGACUUAACCAGUCAACAUAAAGGUGACAAAGGGAACCUCAUGUUCUUCCAUCUGGUCUAAGACAAAGAAGAGCUUUUCAAUUUGUAGAAUCCAAACUUUUACAACCAAAGGGUCAGGUCCACUAUCAAAGUGGGGAGGGUUCAAACUCCUAAAUUCAGUAAUGUUUUGGGAGAUGGAGUGGUCAGCAGGGCAAUAGUCUUGGGUUGA
Molecule: long non-coding RNA, 645 nt
Filed under: Carica papaya (papaya)
Lineage: Eukaryota; Viridiplantae; Streptophyta; Magnoliopsida; Brassicales; Caricaceae
Description: long non-coding RNA (CPAP_LNC005612)
Source: RNAcentral